RNAcentral lists this ribosomal RNA (292 nucleotides) under uncultured bacterium. Its description in RNAcentral is "partial 16S ribosomal RNA". It matches the Rfam family "Bacterial small subunit ribosomal RNA", at positions 505 to 796 of the family's 1533-position model. The record is from RNAcentral.
GUGUCAGCCGCCGCGGUAAUACGUAGGGUGCGAGCGUUGUCCGGAGUUAUUGGGCGUAAAGAGCUCGUAGGCGGCCUGUCACGUCGGCUGUGAAAACCCGCGGCUCAACCGCGGGCCGGCAGUCGAUACGGGCAGGCUCGAGUCCGGUAGGGGAGUCUGGAAUUCCUGGUGUAGCGGUGAAAUGCGCAGAUAUCAGGAGGAACACCGGUGGCGAAGGCGGGACUCUGGGCCGGAACUGACGCUGAGGAGCGAAAGCGUGGGGAGCGAACAGGAUUAGAUACCCGCGUAGUCC